GGGAAUAUUGGGCAAUGGCCGCAAGGCUGACCCAGCGACGCCGCGUGCGGGAGGACGCCCCUCGGGGUGUAAACCGCUGUCAGGAGGGACGAACCGCCCUGUGGUGAACAGCCAUGGGGUCUGACGGUACCUCCAGAGGAAGCGCCGGCUAACUCCGUGCCAGCAGCCGCGGUAAUACGAAGGGGGCUAGCGUUGCUCGGAAUCACUGGGCGUAAAGCGCACGUAGGUGGGUCGCUUAGUCGGGGGUGAAAUCCUGGAGCUCAACUCCAGAACUGCCUUCGAUACUGGCGAUCUUCGAGUCCGGGAGAGGUGGGUGGAACUGCGAGUGUAGAGGUGAAAUUCGUAGAUAUUCGCAAGAACACCAGUGGCGAAGGCGGCUCACUGGCCCGGUACUGACACUGAGGUGCGAAAGCGUGGGGAGCAAA
Molecule: ribosomal RNA, 425 nt
Filed under: uncultured bacterium
Lineage: Bacteria
Description: bacterial SSU rRNA
Rfam family: Bacterial small subunit ribosomal RNA
Source: RNAcentral